UAAGAGCUACCCAUCUAAAGAGGACACUGUAGAGGUUGAGUUUGAGCUCUGAAGCCAAACUACUUAUGUUAAAAUCCUGUGUAAUUAUUGGUUCCGGUGUGUGGUCUACCCUUUUAAACCAAAGCUCACUGUAAAGACAGCGUUUGUCAUUAUUAUGAUCAUCUGGGUCCUAGCCAUCACCAUUAUGUCUCCAUCUGCAGUAAUGUUACAUGUGCAAGAAGAAAAAUAUUACCGAGUGAGACUCAACUCCCAGAAUAAAACCAGUCCAGUCUACUGGUGCCGGGAAGAUUGGCCAAAUCAGGAAAUGAGGAAGAUCUACACCACUGUGCUGUUUGCCAACAUCUACCUGGCUCCCCUCUCCCUCAUUGUCAUCAUGUAUGGAAGGAUUGGAAUUUCACUCUUCAGGGCUGCAGUUCCUCACACAGGCAGGAAGAACCAGGAGCAGUGGCACGUGGUGUCCAGGAAGAAGCAGAAGGUCAUUAAGAUGCUCCUGAUUGUGGCCCUGCUUUUUAUUUUGUCAUGGCUGCCCCUGUGGACUCUAAUGAUGCUCUCAGACUACGCUGACCUUUCUCCAAAUGAACUGCAGAUCAUCAACAUCUACAUCUACCCUUUCGCACACUGGCUGGCAUUCGGCAACAGCAGUGUCAAUCCCAUCAUUUAUGGUUUCUUCAACGAGAAUUUCCGCCGUGGUUUCCAAGAAGCUUUCCAGCUCCACCUCUGCCAAAAAAGAGCAAAGCCUAUGGAAGCUUAUGCCCUAAAAGCUAAAAGCCAUGUGCUCAUAAACACAUCUAAUCAGCUUGUCCAGGAAUCUACAUUUCAAAACCCUCAUGAGGAAAACUUGCUUUGUAGGAAAAGUGCUGAAAAACCCCAACAGGAAUUAGUGAUGGAAGAAUUAAAAGAAACUACUAACAGCAGUGAGAUUUAAAAAGAGCUAGUGUGAUAAUCCUAACUCUACUAUGCAUUAUAUAUUUAAAUCGAUUGCUUUUUGUGGCUUUGCACUUCAAAUUUUUCAAAGAAUGUUCUAAAUAAAACAUUUACUGAAAGCCCUCUCUGGCAAAAAAACAAAAAUAAACAAAAAUGGUCAUAAGAUCAUAAACAAUCUUAUGUUGUAUAAAAUUACGUAGAGUGACUUAGACAUGUUUGCAUGAAUAAAUAUAUUUCUAGAGAACA
Molecule: small RNA, 1170 nt
Filed under: Pan troglodytes (chimpanzee)
Lineage: Eukaryota; Metazoa; Chordata; Mammalia; Primates; Hominidae
Description: processed transcript
Source: RNAcentral